This 622-nucleotide ribosomal RNA is filed under the name uncultured Alphaproteobacteria bacterium. RNAcentral's name for it is "bacterial SSU rRNA". It matches the Rfam family "Bacterial small subunit ribosomal RNA", at positions 58 to 724 of the family's 1533-position model. Lineage: Bacteria; Pseudomonadati; Pseudomonadota; Alphaproteobacteria. The record is from RNAcentral.
CAAGUCGAACGCGUGUAGCAAUACACGAGUGGCGCACGGGUGAGUAACGCGUGGAUAUCUGCCUUUUGGUUCGGAAUAACUCCGGGAAACUGGAGCUAAUACCGGAUGGUUCCUUCGGGAUAAAGAUUUAUCGCCAAAAGAUGAGUCCGCGUACGAUUAGCUAGUUGGUGAGGUAAUGGCUCACCAAGGCGACGAUCGUUAGCUGGUCUGAGAGGACGAUCAGCCACACUGGGACUGAGACACGGCCCAGACUCCUACGGGAGGCAGCAGUGGGGAAUAUUGGACAAUGGGGGCAACCCUGAUCCAGCCAUGCCGCGUGAGUGAUGAAGGCCUUCGGGUUGUAAAGCUCUUUUGGCGGGGACGAUGAUGACGGUACCCGCAGAAUAAGCCCCGGCUAACUUCGUGCCAGCAGCCGCGGUAAGACGAAGGGGGCUAGCGUUGUUCGGAAUUACUGGGCGUAAAGCGAGUGUAGGUGGUUGUUCAAGUUGGAUGUGAAAGCCUUGAGCUCAACUCAAGAAAUGCAUUCAGGACUGAGCGACUAGAGGACCGGAGAGGAUAGUGGAAUUCCCAGUGUAGUGGUGAAAUACGUAGAGAUUGGGAAGAACACCAGUGGCGAAGGCGG